This 19-nucleotide non-coding RNA is filed under the name Arabidopsis thaliana (thale cress). The record is from RNAcentral. Lineage: Eukaryota; Viridiplantae; Streptophyta; Magnoliopsida; Brassicales; Brassicaceae.
GGGACACACAGGUCGUUCA